AGGACUAACGCUGGCGGCGUGCCUAACACAUGCAAGUCGAACGGGGGUAGCAAUACCCCAGUGGCAGACGGGUGAGUAACACGUGGUCAACCUACCUCUGUGUGGGGGAUAACUAGCCGAAAGGUUAGCUAAUACCGCAUACGAUCGUUUUGAGGCAUCUCGAGACGAUGAAAGGAGCAAUCCGCACGGAGAGGGGACUGCGUCCCAUUAGUUAGUUGGUGGGGUAACGGCCUACCAAGACUCCGAUGGGUAGCUGGCUUGAGAGAGCGACCAGCCACACUGGAACUGAGACACGGUCCAGACUCCUACGGGAGGCAGCAGUGAGGAAUUUUCCGCAAUGGGCGAAAGCCUGACGGAGCGACGCCGCGUGUGGGAUGAAGGCCUUCGGGUCGUAAACCACUGUCGAAGGGGACGAUAUUGACGGUACCCUUGGAGGAAGCCCGGCUAACUACGUGCCAGCAGCCGC
Molecule: ribosomal RNA, 466 nt
Filed under: uncultured bacterium
Lineage: Bacteria
Description: SSU rRNA
Rfam family: Bacterial small subunit ribosomal RNA
Source: RNAcentral